GCACCAGGUACAGCAUUUUCUGUUGAGUGACGUCUUAGAAAGCCGGUUGAGUGGGACGCAGUUUACUGACACGCUGCCCAAGUGGAAGCAGACCCUCAGUGUGGAUUAUGUAAAGGAAAUUCGGUUAAUGAGAAAGACGUGUGCGGCUGAGAGGAGCGAGACAGCAUGCGUCAGCCCUAUCCGCAUGUUUACCUUCUUAGAAAUGACAGUGACCGUUUGCGCACUUCAGACCUCUAGAAAAGAACCAGCCCACAAGUUACAGACCAAGAGACAAUUUGAGUUACAGCCGCCUGAAGUUAUUCCUGACUGGCCUUUUAGUUAUUCACAUACCACAAUGACACAAGAGCACCUGGAAAACUCUGUGACCAUGAGUUUGGAACUGUAGCAUGUGGCAAUGACAUACUGAACGGUCUGUUAUGCUGUUUAAAAACCGAACUUCCACAUCUUAAAAAGUGGAUCUCGUAAACAACAAAAAAAGGAGAUGUACAAAAAGCCUCCUAAAGAUGGAAGAGUGUAAUUGAGUGAAGGAUCUGGAUCCUGUUCCCCACGAGAGCGACAACCCUGAGGGAGGCAUCCAUUUCAAGUGCUGUCAGUGCCUUUAGAGGAGACUGAUGUGUGUGAAGUCAAGCUUCUCGAAGGUGGCCUUGUCCUUUCGACUGAUCAACUGUUCACAACAGAAAGCACACGGAAGAAGCUUGGUGAGAGAUUUUGUCCAACGAUGCAAGUAACAGUCCUUAAAACCACACUGUUGGCAGAUGACCUUCAACCAGUCUCCAGAGGUGUUAUCACAUAGUACAGUUUUUCCCUUAAUAAAUGUUCAUAUCUUGCUUU
Puntigrus tetrazona (Sumatra barb) is the source of this 831-nucleotide long non-coding RNA. RefSeq lists it as uncharacterized. The record is from RefSeq and is a predicted model, not a curated record. The transcript is spliced from 4 exons. Lineage: Eukaryota; Metazoa; Chordata; Actinopteri; Cypriniformes; Cyprinidae.